Molecule: long non-coding RNA, 816 nt
Filed under: Gadus morhua (Atlantic cod)
Lineage: Eukaryota; Metazoa; Chordata; Actinopteri; Gadiformes; Gadidae
Description: lncRNA (ENSGMOG00000031457.1)
Source: RNAcentral
GCACAAUACACAACAUGUAGUGUAUUGUAGUAUGUAUGUAUACAUACUGUGACAAAACAAGACAAUUCUCCCUCCAACCUUACAAAGUUGGGUAUAAAAGACAAAACUGUUUUGUAGCAGCACAAGCUUGAUUUUUAAACUACAUCUGAAACCACCUAAGUUGUGUAUCCGCUUAAAGGGCUGCCGGUUCAAAUGUUAUAUUGCCUAGUGGAAACUUUGUCAUGGUAGCACUAAAAGGAAAAAUAUUAUAUGCUAAUAUAUAUAUUAUGUAUAUGCUAGAAUUGUGCCGUUUUCCAAAGAUAAGGCUUUGUUUUCCAAGACCUUUUCAUUUCUAGUGUCAAUAUUAAAUUGGCAUUUCCUUGUAGUUCUUUCUUGCAGUUAACAUUACUGUGGAAAAAGAGGGACACAGAAAUGGUUGUUGCACUACUCCCUUCACAGAUUAAGGGGCGCAGCAUCCUUAUCCACCAUAGUGAGCUAUGCUCACUUCGACCAUACCAGUGGUUGACAGGGGAGGUUAUUGAGGGCCUGUUUCAUGUUGCUGCCCACACAUUCAAUGUGGUGGACACCGUCUACAUUAUGAAUCACUACUCAGCAGGUGGGAUUUUGUUCAGUGACAGAACUGAACUACCUCGUCACAGUUUACCAAAGGUAAACUUUGACAACUAUGAAGCUGUUCUGUCAUUUGUGCUAGUCAACGGCAACCACUGGAACUUACUGUACAUUAAUGCAGAAACCAGCACAGUAUUUCUGAUGGAUCCAGCACGAUUGUCAUCAGAGCUUGAGGACUCUGAACAUGCUGCUAAAAGAAUACAGUAA